GACGAACGCUGGCGGCGUGCCUAAUACAUGCAAGUCGAACGCAUUUUCUUUCACCGUAGCUUGCUACACCGAAAGAAAAUGAGUGGCGAACGGGUGAGUAACACGUGGGUAACCUGCCCAUCAGCGGGGGAUAACACUUGGAAACAGGUGCUAAUACCGCAUAAUUCCAUUUACCGCAUGGUAGAUGGAUGAAAGGCGCUUUUGCGUCACUGAUGGAUGGACCCGCGGUGCAUUAGCUAGUUGGUGGGGUAACGGCCUACCAAGGCUGCGAUGCAUAGCCGACCUGAGAGGGUGAUCGGCCACAUUGGGACUGAGACACGGCCCAGACUCCUACGGGAGGCAGCAGUAGGGAAUCUUCGGCAAUGGACACAAGUCUGACCGAGCAACGCCGCGUGAGUGAAGAAGGUUUUCGGAUCGUAAAACUCUGUUGUUAGAGAAGAACAAGGAUGAGAGUGGAAAGUUCAUCCCUUGACGGUAUCUAACCAGAAAGCCACGGCUAACUACGUG
RNAcentral lists this ribosomal RNA (507 nucleotides) under uncultured bacterium. Its description in RNAcentral is "partial 16S ribosomal RNA". It matches the Rfam family "Bacterial small subunit ribosomal RNA", at positions 28 to 507 of the family's 1533-position model. The record is from RNAcentral.